Molecule: long non-coding RNA, 1506 nt
Organism: Anas platyrhynchos (mallard)
Lineage: Eukaryota; Metazoa; Chordata; Aves; Anseriformes; Anatidae
Source: RefSeq, a predicted model, not a curated record
UGGCUUGGCGGGAAAUGGGCGGGGCCUCGCACUGCUCACCUGGGGGGGCGGGGCGUGGAGCGCACCUGCGUGACGUCACCGGCGGGGGGCGGGGCGAGGCGUGACGUCAGCAGCAUGGCGGCGCUCCUGGCGCUCCUCCUGCUGCUGCCCCCGACCGGACCUGCAGCCGCGUCCCCUGGCGGGGACCCCCUGGGGACCCCCGAGGUCCCCCCCGGCCCCACGGAGCCCCCCCAGGACCUGCGGGACGCCGCCUACCAAGCCCGCUGUGCGGCCCCCCCCGGCCCCCGGCCCGUGCCGUGCCUCCUUCCAGCGCUGGUUCCACAGCCCGGGGGGGGGCGGCUGCCGCCCCUUCACCUACAGGGGGUGCGGGGGCAACGCCAACAACUACGCCCGGCGCCAGGACUGCCUGAGGAGCUGCCAGCGCCCCGCCCCCGGCACUGAGCCCGCCGUGCAGCCCACCAUAGCCCUGGCCCUGCUGCUGCUGCCUCUGCUGCUGCUCCUGGGGGGGGUCGCCGCCGCCCUCGCCCGCCGCCGCUUUUUGGGAUGUGCCCCCCCCGGGCUGGGCCACGGCCCCCCCACCCCCGACAAGGAGGCGCUUGUGGGGGCCGUGGGGCCCAUGUGAUCGCCCCCGAAAAGGAAGGUUGCUUUGUUUGGGGUUUUUUUGCCCCAAAAAUGAGGCUUUUUCCCAAAAAGUGAGAAUUUUCCCCCAAAACGACGCGGCUUUCCAACGAAAAAGAGGCCUUCGCCCCAAAAAAAGAGGACUUCCCCCCCAAAAAAGUCAUUUCCCAAAAAAAAGAGACUUUCCCCCCCCAAACGAGGCUUUUUACCAAAAGAAUUAGACUUUUCCCCAAAAAAAGUUGUUUGUUUCCUCCAAAAUGGCCUUUUGCCACCAAAAUGAGGCUUUUUCCUCCAAAAUGAAGCCUUUUCCCCCAAAGCGAGGCUUUUUUAGGCUUUUUUUUUCCCCCAAAAUAGGGCUAUUUCUAUAAAUAUGAGGCUUUUUACCAAAAGAAUUACUUUUUUUUCCUUAAAGAGUCUUUUUUCCCCAAAUCUAGCAUUUUUCCCCCCAAAAUUGAUCUUCCCCUCUCCUAAUUGGGCCUCUCCCUCCCCUCCCCAAAAAAGUAGCUUUUUCACCCCAAAACGAGGCUCCCCCCCAAACGGGGCUUUUUCAACCCAAACAUGCCUCCCCCCCCUUCCCUGUCCCAAAAUGGGUUUUUCACCCCAAACUGAGGCCUUCCCCCCUCUCCCCCCCCCAAAUAGGGCUUUUUCUCCCCCAAAUGGGGUUCCCCCCCUCCAGGGCUUUAUUUUUUGAUCAUUUCCCCUGGGAGGGGGCUGUUUGCGGGGUGCUUUGGGAUUUGGGGGGGGGGCUCUGAGCACCCAAGGGUGCUCCCCCCCACCCCCCCCCCUUACCAGCUGGGGGCUUUUUUAAUGAAAAUCUUCACGGUUUCGGGAUUUUUUUUUUACACUUUUAAGGAAAAUUUUUGCAAUAAAGGGAUUUCCGAACUCCCC